RNAcentral lists this long non-coding RNA (8447 nucleotides) under Sorghum bicolor (sorghum). RNAcentral describes it as "long non-coding RNA (SBIC_LNC000155)". Lineage: Eukaryota; Viridiplantae; Streptophyta; Magnoliopsida; Poales; Poaceae. The record is from RNAcentral.
GUAUAAUAUGACCAGGAUAUCUUAAGCAGCAGCAGCAGCAGCAGGAUGACAAAUGACGCAGAAAUACAUAAUUAAGCAUUGGGGGAAAACAAAGGGGCCGGGGCAGAAGGAAGGAAGGAAUCCGCCACUGACGUCGUUGGCAAAGAAGACGCGGUCUUGGGUGUAGCUCCUGUGGUUGUGGACCCAGGAGUUGGCGACGAAGACGACGGUGCCCUUGCCGGGGACGCCCUCCAGGGUGAGCGUCUUGAGGAACACCUCCUCGGUCUGGUGGUUCCUGACGAGGACGGCGCCGGGGAUCCCCUGCGACUCGUCCCACUCGAAGUUCACCCGGAACACCGUCUCCCCGUCCGUCCUGGACUUGAGCGACACCACCACCUCCUCCAGGUGCGCCGCCUUCCCAACCUUGCCUCGCCCCCCAUUGCCUGCGUUUCGCGUACGUGCGUGCCGUUUCGAAACAAAAAAAACCUUGUUAAAUGAACCGCGUAGAUAGGCGUGGCGUGGGAGGAGGAGCGGGAGGAGCCGAAGAGCAUACGGUGGUCGGCCUUGGUGGCGCUGACGAGCUGGAAGGUGAGGCCGGUGUCCUGGCCGAGGAUCUGGUGGAUGCCGUCGAGGAGCGACGCCUGGAAGUGGCCCAAGUCGAGCGCGUCCUUCUUCACCAGCACCACGGUGCCCCGGAUCCGGCCCUCGUUCCACGCCGCCUUGUUCUUCCCCGUCAGCCGGUCCGCGAACGCGUGAAGCAGCAUCCUGCCUGCUUGCCAAUGCGAUGUCCCAGCAAAAGCAAGCGGGGCUAUGGAAAUGGAACAACACUUUGGGCUGCUGUCUGUCUACUGGACUGCUUCUACUGCUGUUUGUCUGCUGACACGAGCUGGGAAGCCUGGGGCAGUGGGUCCUAAUUAUAGGCCGUCGUGGACUAGCAGCCACGCUCGCGUGCGGCACGCCGGCACGUGGUGGUACCGGGCCUCCACUGUUCACACACGGCACUGCAGCAGGGGACCAGGGGCUCACCGAGACAAGCAUAGCCAAAACAAAAGGUGCUCGGCAACGGGUGGCUCUCCCAAGAGCAACUCUUUUGAUAACUCUUUAUUCAGUUGGAAAAUUUUUUGGAUUUUAGGUACCGUAGCACUUUUCGUUUGUAUUUGUUAAUUAUUGUUAAAUUAUGAACUAAUUAGGCUUUAAAAGAUUCAUCUCGUAAAUUACAGUUAAACUGUGUAAUUAGUUUUUAUUUACGUUUAUAUUUUGUACUCCGCAAGAUUCGAUGUGAUGAAUAAUCUUGAAUUUUUUUAUAACUAAAUAAGGCCUAAAACAAAAGGUGCUGAAUAUGACAGGCCAGCUGCUCGGGCUACACGUGGCACGGCCAAACGAAUUAGUUCUAAAAAUAAAAUUCUGAAAAUAUUAUUUUUAGAUUUUUUUUAAAAGAGCUAGAAAUAAAAUGCAAAAAUUGCAGGGACAGUGAAUGCGAUCGGCAGGCUGGUACGUUCUGUAAACUGAACAAUAUAACAAUUGUUUGCUUAAACUUAUCCGUCGUAUUUUUUAAAGAAAAAAUAGUAGUGUUUUUUCUCACCAUAAAUCACUAUCAGCCAAAUUUUAACGAGCUGAACGGGAAAUCUUGCUAGUCGUUCUAGAGCUUAGCAGCCAAAAGCGUAAAAUAUGAUCAUGUUUAGACAUUCACGUUAUUGAUUCGAACGUUAUUGAUUCGAGAACAUUUACAUUCUCAUAUAUUAUAAAUAUUGUCUCAAGAUUUUGUUUUUAUUUUAUUCCCUUUUUCUUCCGAAAACAUGGUUGCCAAGCUCUGGAGACAGUUUAGGAUGACUUUGGUUGGGUUUUUAGGAGCUGACUUUGCUUUCAAAAAUCCAAAAAGACUAAGGCCCUGUUUAGUUCCCUAUCCAAAAUUUUUUUAUCCAUCCCAUCGAAUCUUUGGACACAUGCAUGGAACAUUAAAUGUACAUAAAAAAUAAACUAAUUACACAGUUUAGUUAAGAAUCACGAGACGAAUCUUUUAAGCCUAGUUACUCCAUGAUUAGCCUUAAGUGCUACAGUAACCCACAUAUGCUAAUGACAGAUUAAUUAUGCUUAAUAAAUUUGUCUUGCAGUUUCCUGACGAGCUAUGUAAUUUGUUUUUUUAUUAGUUUCUAAAAACCUCUCCCGACAUCCUUCCGACAUAUCCGAUGUGACACCCAAAAAAUUUUCGUUCCCAAUCUAAACAGGCCCUAACCAAAAGAGUAGGAACUAGAACCUGCUUUUUCAGAAGUAGCUGUUUUUGGAUACUACAGUUAUGAAAGCACAUGAAUCCUGCUUUUUUGUGCUUUCUGCUCUUGGAAUGGUGAAAAUAGAGAGUUGUGCAGUUGUUUCAAAGAAGAGAGAGACAUGAGGUAGAUUUUAUACUUGUUUCGCACAAAAAACUGCACAACUAUUUUGGAUUUUGGCCUCAUGUCUCCCUCAAGAGCUCCCCCCCCCCCCCCCAAAAAAAACCACAAAUGGAUUCAUGUGCUUUCAUAACUAGUAAUGGUGAUAAUAACAAGAAAAUUGUUGGAAUGGUGAAAAUAGAGAGUUGCCUCAAGAGCUCCCUCCCUCCCCCCCCCCCCCCCCAAAAAAAAAAAACCACAAGUGGCCUUCAUGAAGACAAUAACUUCUGCAUUUUUAGUUAAACUAAACAUAAUUCUGAAAAUUUUGUAUUUUAUUAUUCCAAAAUAGUUGACAUUUUGUAUUUUGCAUUUUUCUAGAAUUAAACACCCCCUGACCGUGUCCGUGUUCCACGUUCGCUUUUUGCCGAAAAUGCACAUAUGGACGGACAGCCAGCCUGGCUGCCUGGCUGGGCCCUGCCGCGGUGCCAGGUGUGAACGGUGCAGGCCGAUACCACCGCGUGCCGUGUGGCUAGUCCAUAACGACCUCUAUCUUCAAACGGAUUGCUCAGGCAAGGCGUUUUCAUGGUAUUAUUAUAAACGGUAAUGCUCUGUGCAAGGCGUUUUCUAGGCCUAUCGCCUAUGGACCAAUCCGUUUAAUAAGCGAUCAUAUAGACCAAAUAAACACUAAUACGAUGUGUCCAAUUGUUUACUGUUUAGCGUGUAUUUUGAUUCACACUGAUGUGUGUUUCACUGUCUCUAUAUAUAUUUGUUUCCACGAUCGGGCCAUUCACCCCAUCUGAAGAGUUACAGUAGUCUGAUAGGCUAAGAAAUGAGCUGACGAACUUUUAUUCUUAACCAAGAAAAAAAACAUACAAAUUCCAAAAAAAAAAGAAAAAAAACAUACAUGACAAUAUUAUUCAGGCGUGGCUCCUGUUCUCAACCCUACAGAUUAUGGUAACAGAUAACAAUCCUCAUCUCCACCCACAACCCUGAAACUGACGAAACCAACGAAGAAACACAUUGCACGGCGCAUCAAAACAUUUACAUACCGUCCUACGAAAGAUACAAUCUGCCCAGGCUCAUAUGGAGAUGCUGUUGGGAAUGCCCAUGGCAGUAAGCCCCUCGCCCUUCUCGCCGGUAACGUCCGACGUGUUGGGGUACAGCAGCAUGUACGGCAUUUCCACCGGCCCCUUUCGGUUCUUCAAGGUCGGGUUGUCGUUCAUCGUCUUGAUCCGGUUCUCAAUCUCCACCAGCCGGCUUCCGAAUCUUUUGAACGCAUCCAACGCCUUGGCGUCUGACGUCCAUCGCUCAGGCUCGUCACGCUGGCCGAGGUACACCUCGUCGGAGGAGUGCUUGGAGAGGAUCUCGAUGAGCGAGAUGCCCAGGAUGGUCUGGAACUGGCUGGUGAUGGUGCGGAUGAACACCUUGUCGGCCUCCUUCUGCCCCGCUUCCAACUUCUUGUACUCAUCGCUGCCCGGCUCCGGCAUCGGCCGCCGGCUCACCGUCGGCCGGUUCGGGAGGUACCCGGCGUAUGGAUACUGCCCAAAGUUGACAGCUGCGUGCAGCGCAGAUGCCACCCAGAUGAUGGUCGUGCACGACCUAGCCAGCUGCUGGACGGUGUCCAUCCUGGGCCACCAGUCUCGAUCCUUAAGGUCGCCGUGCGCCUCCUCACGCACCUCCUUCCACCAUGCCUGCAGCUCCACAUCACGCUGGACCUCACCGUCGUUAGAGUAGUAGACAUCCAAGUACUCCUUGACCCACCGCUCAAUCGCCCACCAGAUCACGAGCCCAUCAACGGCAUAUGGAUAGUCCUUGAUCAGUAGUCGGACACCAUAUGGGCUUGACUGAUCCGGUACAGCCACACCUCUGAAAGCACAACCAGAAGAGUAAACCCGUCAGAAUCAAACAGUUUUUAGAAGCUCUUCUGCAUUACCAUCUCGUCAGCUCUACUGCUCAAUGUAGUAUGCACGUACCUCUUGACGAGAUCUGCGGGGAGAGCCUGCUCGUUGAAAUUCCAGCUCUUGUACACGUCGGAGGACAUCUCCAGCGCGUAUUUUCCAGGGAACACGGUGCGCUCGAAGAUGCCACCGGCGUUGAUGAGCGUCUGGCGUGCCAGGGCGUUGAUGUUCAAUGUGUCACGGUAGUGUGGGCUCAGCAGCUUAUGCACAGGAUGCACCACACUGAGCUGCCGGUUUGUUGCGAUCGCGAACGGCUCGAUCACCGCGUGUGUGUUCAACCUGCAAACACACAUAGACACAAGAUUGAUGUUUCGGUAUCUCCAUACAUAAAAAAAAAAUACCAGAAACAUUUAGCCUUUUUUUUUGCGAGAACAUUUAGCCGUUUUGGUAGCAACAGAACAAACUAAGGAAGAACUCCGUACCAGUGGCUGAUCAGCUGAUGCCAGGCAGAGUCGUUUACGCAGGCGUAAGCCUUGGCAAGUUGCCAGAUGUGACCCUCCACGCCAGUGUGAGCCGGGGUGUACACCUUGCUGACCGCACCGUGCUGCAGACCAUCAGGGUGAGGCAGGCUCAGCUCGAUGGCCAGGGGCUUCAGGGUGCCAUCGUCCUUCAAGAACAGUAGGGUCCUGCUUGCAUAGAUGAAGUUUCCCUCCAACUUGUUGAUCUUGUUGAGGUAAGGCAUGAAACUAUCAUGGUGGUCUAGGAUGAAGAGCCUGUUGUUCUUCAGUGCCUGCACAGGGUUUGUUAUGGCAAUCAAUCGAUGGUUUUAAGCAAUUGUUUGUAUUGAAUCUUUCAGUUAUAUGUGCAUGUGUUCAGUCCAGCAUACAUUCUGCACCGACAGGCCUUCCAGGUUAUGCUGAAUGUGAGCUUCAGUGAUCUUGCUGGUAUGGUCCCCAUAUUGACUUGGGUCCAAGGUACUUUUAGCAGGGAACUCCUGAGAUCAUGAAAAAGAAAAAUUUUAAAGCUCUUUACUCAGUUAUGGGGCAAGUGUAUUUGCCAAUUCAUAUGAUGCAAGAUGCUAACCGUCAGACGUUUGAUGAUUACUGGGUUCACGCCUGCAAGUGUCUCUCUCGCAAACUCUUCAUCAGUCCUCCAGCCAAACUUGAACUCUGGAGCCUUUUUCAAUACAUCUGGUGCAUACCAAGAUUUAGCCUUAGUCAUGGUACAACUUUUUAGUUCAAAAAUCGGAUUAACAUAGAAAAAUUGUUCAGUUACCUGAUUUGAUGAUAUUUGGAAGGGGCAUCUUUAGGGGGUGGUCAUGACUACCAUUUGGCAGAAUACUUCUAAGGAACUCACUGGGGAUUCUCUUCCUGACCUCUGCUACUAGUGGAUUGUUGGGUGCUUCUGGACCCAGUUCAUAGAGUCCGAGGAUAUCUUCGAAUGAAUCAAACUCCUUUGGUGUAUCAUCGACAAAAGUCCCUAAUGUUGGAAGAACAGCCUCAACGAUUGCCUUCAGUGAGUACCCAAGGAAGUCUGACAUCUUGAGAUGCCCAAAGCGUUCAUCACGCGGGACAUAGAUGUUCAGGUUCAACAGGAAAAGCCUGCUCUCUGAAUUUGGGUCUGCAGAAAAAGUUACCAACAAGGAUUUCAGCCAAAAUUUCUGACAUCUUGUAUGGACCAAAAUGUAGCUGACUUGAACUUACCUUUUUCUGUUGGGUGCCGACCAGUUCUGCAGCGACGGGGAUAUGGGUGUUGGCUGCCACCAAGGAUCGGCCGAGCAUUGUCUUCACCCUUGUCUGGGUCACCAAGGUCAUUGUAGUAGUCAUAACGGUAGACGCGAUCAUGCUCCUUGUAUGGUCCAGGAGUAUCAUCACCACGGAGAAUCUUGAGUUCAUCUUGCCGAUAAGGAACCAAAGCCGCAGGCAUUUUGUUUGGCAGAUAGGUCUGCAAAACAGGAAUAGAGUGACUGACCUGUUUUUCUUUUAGAUAAGGGAACAAAGUUCCAGCCUCUACCAUCCACCGAUAGUACACAGCUUAGAGUUGAGAAUACAAAAAGAAGCCACAAGGCUUCCAAAGCACAAGAAAAGAAACAAAAUACAGCAUCUGCCCAGCUAGUGAAGCUUAGGACUAUUAGCUGAUAGGUCUGCUAAUUUUCCGCAAUAUCAUAUGAGAGGAGAGAAAAGGCUAUAUUGACUUGUGUUCUAGUGUUCUCUGUUGGGUGGAUCUAGUACCGAUAAUAUCCAGAGAGGAAAACUACAACAAUAAAAAUAACGUGUUGUAAAAAAACAAUACAAAAACAGUGAGUAAAGUGAUUUUUUUCCACUCAGCAAAUUAUCAAGCCAUGUCAACCAUCAUGAGCCACAUAUCUCUCCUGCAUGUUCGGAAAAAAAGAACAUUCUUCUUCCCAACUAAAUGAUAUGCAGCUCUCCUAUGCGUUUGAGAAGAUAGUGCAACAUGAGGUAAUUCAGACUUCAGGAUGUUCAAUUUGUGAUUGUGUGAUCGUAACCGGACUGAACCUUGUAUUUAUUUCUCCUUCUUUUGACUAUCAAGAGAGAGUUAUACAAGACUUGAGAUAUUGCUGCUGAUAUCUAUCAACCAGUUCUGGAUCAACAAAUGCGCACCAUGGAUUCUUUCAAAUAGCUUUAUUAAGCAGCACUACUUGGAGAUACUUUAGUCAUAUGCUACUAAAGGUAGUAGAAAGUUGCUGAUCAUGAGCAACUUGCUGUUUUAAUCUAAGGCAAUCAGUAGAAAACUCGUUUAGCCUUGUCGAAUAGAUGAGGCAAGCGAAAUGUUUUAUCAUCCACGUGGAAACAAUCAGUGCCUAUUUUUCUAAUGUCUGUGUCAGUGAUAAGACAACGUUAGAUACGAUUUAUGGUGAAGCCAUACAGAAAUCACACAACAAUUUACUGUAACCGUACCUUGUAGCUGCAGUGGCAACAAGCACAGCCGAACACUUUGAUUGCUGCCGGCUAGCCGUAAUGUGAGUGAUGAGUGUGUGGGUGCGGGUGUUGUGUUCGAUAGUACUAGUAGUACUUGUGUACAGAUAGCCCAUGGCAAUGAUUGUCAAUACAGUACGGUCAUAUGUGGACUUGGCCGGAAGACCAAGCUGGCCAAUUUGGCAGCUAUAGUAAACCGGUGUACCCAAUCCAGGUGAACAAUAAAAAAAAUGAGCCAAUAGCAGAGUACUUAUUCUAAUCACGGCUCUUUGCACUUUUCACUAGAUAAUGCGUAGCAUCAAGAUCUAGGUACAGCUAACAUGGUACUGUACUCUACAUAAUUCAUACAAAAGGCUUUUCGCUUUUAAAAUGAAUAGUUGUUCAGCAUCCAAUCCGUGGUCCCUAACCACAUUUCGUUGCAAAUAAUCUUAAGAUGUGUUUAUCAGAAGCAAGUGUCUUUUUUUUGGAAUUUGAUCAAUAAAGUACUUUUUAGUCUUAGCAGCAAAAUGUAACCCUCGAUUUUCAAUGGCUAUAUAAAAUUGCAUCAUAGUCUAUAUGUGAAACUAUCAACAAAUGUUGCACAACCACCACUAAAACCACGCUUCAGUUACAUCACUAGCAUAUUGAUGUGCGCAUAACACAAGAUGUUCCGGCCUUGUUUACUUCCAAAAAAAUUUUGCAAAAUUUUUUACAUUUCCCGUCAUAUCGAAUCUUUAGACGCAUGCAUGGAGUAAUAAAUAUAGACGAAAAUAAAAACUAAUUGCACAGUUUGGUCGAAAUUGACGAGACGAAUCUUUUGAGUCUAGUUAGUCCAUGAUUGGACAAUAUUUAUCAAAUACAAACAAAAAUGCUACAGUGUCCAUUUCCCAAAAUUUUUUGGAACUAAACAAGGCCUUAGUGAUUUUCGCUACACAGGCCGUCACAAUUCUUUCUUUCCUUACGCACGAUCGUGAUGCAGCAGCAGCAGCAGCAACGGGACCAGCGAAGGCAAAAACGAAGGACUCAGAUGCCAUCAUCAGAAUUCAGAAAAAAGGAAUAUAUACUCACGUCGUUGGCGAAGAAGAUGCGUUCCUGGGAGUAGAGCUUGUGCGGGUAGAUCCAUGAGUUGGCGACGAAGACGACGGUGCCCCCCUGCCUGCCGGGGACGCCCUCCAGGGUGAGCGUCUUGAGGAAGAACUCGGCGUGCUGCAGGUUCCUGACGCGGACGGCGCCCGGGAUCCCCUGCGACUCGUCCCAGUCGAAGUUCACCCGGAACACCGUCUCCCCGUCCA